AUGGACCAGAGACAGUGUCAUAGAAUCCUUCUCGGCAAUGGCAGAAACAGUGCUUUAUUUGUUAUGACUGUGCAAAAACCCACCUGGAAAACAUUGCUCUCAGAGUCCGAGGUGGCCACCGUGUGGGUGCAGAGGAGUGUGGAUGGAGACCAGCUCAAGCCAGAGGUACUACUGUCCUGUUAGCUCGCUGGGAGUGGCUCGGGGUGGUUAGGCCAUAUCACCACAUAUUCAGAAGAGGAUCGAAAGCAAAGCAAGCCCAGGCUUUGGGGGAUGAAUUCAGUAGCUGUGGAUAUUCAGGAUAAUCCAAGUUCAGACCUUUUUCCUCAUUAUUUGGAUCAUACUCACACAUAAUGAGUAUGAUCACAUACUCACAUAAUGACUUCCCUUGACUUACUUUUUUUUUUCUUUUUUAAGUACAGUUUUAGACUGAGUCUAAACGUCUAAAGUCAACCAGAGUCAGGGGAUUAUUAAUCUGCAGAAUUUGAUUCCCACAGACAAGUAAUUUCAGUACAUCCCAGGACAAACCCACCCAUUAUAUUAUUCAUUUAAUCAUGUUGCUGUCUUCUUAUUUUCAUUUAUUUUUUAUUUUUGUUUUUGUUUUUGUUUUUCAUUUAUUUUUUUAAAGAGUGAAGAGAAAUCUUUAUUUUUAAAAAUUAAUUAAUUUAUUAAUUUAUAGACAGAGAGUGUGUGUACAGGGAGAGGGGCAGAGAGAGAGAGAGAAUCUCAGCAGAUUCUUUUGCUGAGUGUGGAGCCCUACAUGGGGCUCACUUCACAACCCUGAGGUCAUGACUGAAAUCAAGAGUCAGUUAUUCAUUUGAUUGAGCCCCCUAGGUGCCCCCAUGUUGCUGUCUUUUUUAAAAUAGACUUUUUUUAGAACAGUUUAAGAUUUACAGAAAAGUUAUAGAAAUAGUACAGAGACCUACUGUUAUACCCUACACCCAAUUUCCUUUAUUAUGGAAUCUUACAUCAGUACGGUUUAUUUGUUACAAUGAAUGAUUGAAUACUGAUAGAUUACUAUUAACUAAAACCCAUAGUUUAUUCAGAUUUUCUUUGUUUCUAACCAAUAUCCUUUUUCUGUUCUCGAAUUUCCUUUGGAAUACCACAUCAUGCUUCGUUGUCAUGUCUCCUUAGGCUUCUCCUGGCAGGGACAGUUUCACAGACUUUUCUUGUUUCUGUGACCUCAACAGUUUUGAGGAGUUGUCAGGUGUUUUUUUUUUUUUUUUUUUCAAAAUGUCCCUUUAUUAGAAAUUGUCUAAUAUUUUCCCUCACGAUUAGAGGGGUUUAGCAGUGUUGAUACUGACUUUGAUUAUCUGGCGCGGUGGUGUUUGUUGGGUUUCUCCAUUGUAAAGUUAUUCUUCAUCCCCCCCUGUUUCCAUACUGUAUCCUUUGGAAGGAAGUCACCAUGCCCAACCCAUAGCUAGGGACUGAGAAUUUAUGCUCUCCCUCCUUGAGGAUGGAGUAUGUAUGUAAAUUGUUUGGAAUUCUUCAUGGGAGAUUUGUCUCUUCUUCAUUCACUUAUCUACUCGAUCAUUUAUUUAUAUCAGCAUGGACUCAUAGAGAUCUAUUUUC
This 1569-nucleotide long non-coding RNA is filed under the name Canis lupus familiaris (dog). Its description in RNAcentral is "lncRNA (ENSCAFG00040016122.1)". Lineage: Eukaryota; Metazoa; Chordata; Mammalia; Carnivora; Canidae. The record is from RNAcentral.